ACUGACUGAGUCAGUGUCAGCUUUUAACUCAACCUCUCUGACAGGAGCUCAAAGAAUAACAGUGGCUUAAAUCUAGACAUGAUCUUCACUCUCUUCUUAUUAUAUUUUCUGCAUCUGCCAGAAAAAGCUGCGACUGACAGCAAAGACGUCGUCCAAACACCACGUUUCAUGGUCAAGAGACCUGGUGAACGCGUCGAUAAUGAGAUCAGCUGUUCACACAGCAUCCCAAAUUAUGAUGUCAUCUUAUGGUAUAAACAAGACAAACACCGGGCGCUGAAGCUUCUGGGAUAUCUGAACCUGGGCUUCCCAUAUCCAGAAGAAGACGUGAAAGGAAAAGUCAGCUUUGAUGGAGACGGACGCAAGCAGUCAGGCCUCAAUGUAUCCAGUCUCACACUGGAGGACAGUGGUGUGUACUUCUGUGCUGCCAGUUUGCACAGUGCUGCAGAUCCUCCUCCAGUCAAUACAAAAACCUUCAGCCAUCUGUCUGACAAACACCUGCAUGUAAACAAUAGAAAGAUUUUAUCACAGGCUCUGCGGAAAUAACCAGAAUUCAAAUAAAGUGUCUCCAUCGCUGAGUGGGGGGAGGCAAUGUUCACAAGUGUAGAUUCUAUGUUUACGUACCACUUAGGUUAUUCAAGUACCACUUACUUACUAAAAGAAGAUGAAU
Non-coding RNA from Betta splendens (Siamese fighting fish), 667 nucleotides. Lineage: Eukaryota; Metazoa; Chordata; Actinopteri; Anabantiformes; Osphronemidae. The record is from the annotation of a RefSeq genome assembly.